Molecule: ribosomal RNA, 228 nt
Filed under: uncultured bacterium
Lineage: Bacteria
Description: partial 16S ribosomal RNA
Rfam family: Bacterial small subunit ribosomal RNA
Source: RNAcentral
UCCGUAGGCGGGCGUCUAAGUCAGUGGUGAAAUCUUACAGCUCAACUGUAAAAUUGCCAUUGAUACUGGAUGUCUUGAAUUAGUGUGAAGUGGUAGAAUGUGUAGUGUAGCGGUGAAAUGCAUAGAUAUUACACAGAAUACCAAUUGCGAAGGCAGAUCACUAACACUAUAUUGACGCUGAGGGACGAAAGCGUGGGGAGCGAACAGGAUUAGAUACCCUGGUAGUCC